RNAcentral lists this ribosomal RNA (426 nucleotides) under uncultured Methylophilus sp. RNAcentral describes it as "bacterial SSU rRNA". It matches the Rfam family "Bacterial small subunit ribosomal RNA", at positions 356 to 774 of the family's 1533-position model. The record is from RNAcentral. Lineage: Bacteria; Pseudomonadati; Pseudomonadota; Betaproteobacteria; Nitrosomonadales; Methylophilaceae.
GGGGAAUUUUGGACAAUGGGCGAAAGCCUGAUCCAGCCAUUCCGCGUGAGUGAAGAAGGCCUUCGGGUUGUAAAGCUCUUUCGCAAGGGAAGAAAACUUAGUCUCUAACAUAGACUGAGGUUGACGGUACCUUGAUAAGAAGCACCGGCUAACUACGUGCCAGCAGCCGCGGUAAUACGUAGGGUGCGAGCGUUAAUCGGAAUUACUGGGCGUAACGCGUGCGCAGGCGGUUUUGUAAGUCAGAUGUGAAAUCCCCGAGCUCAACUUGGGAACUGCGUUUGAAACUACAAGACUAGAAUAUGUCAGAGGGGGGUAGAAUUCCACGUGUAGCAGUGAAAUGCGUAGAGAUGUGGAGGAAUACCAAUGGCGAAGGCAGCCCCCUGGGAUAAUAUUGACGCUCAUGCACGAAAGCGUGGGGAGCAAACA